AAUCUCCCACCCCAAGCGGUUUUUACAUGAAACGGCUUGGCGGAUGGGGUCUGGAUGGGUGCCUCUGCCUGCGCUACCUAGCACAGGCUCGCCCGAAAUGCAUGAGCGCCUUGAGACACUUUGCAUCCGCCUCUCUGUUUGGGAGGAGGCGGCCAAGCAGUGUUUUUCUCCUGGCAUGGCAUGAUACGUCAUUUGCUAUGUCGCCUAAAGGAGGAAUGUUUGGUUGUGUCUGCGUGUGCUUCGAACUUGCCUCUGUGGCACAUCCCAAUUUCAC
RNAcentral lists this unclassified non-coding RNA (274 nucleotides) under uncultured Malassezia. RNAcentral describes it as "sequence contains ITS2". Lineage: Eukaryota; Fungi; Basidiomycota; Malasseziomycetes; Malasseziales; Malasseziaceae. The record is from RNAcentral.